RNAcentral lists this ribosomal RNA (497 nucleotides) under uncultured bacterium. RNAcentral's name for it is "partial 16S ribosomal RNA". It matches the Rfam family "Bacterial small subunit ribosomal RNA", at positions 28 to 507 of the family's 1533-position model. The record is from RNAcentral.
GAUGAACGCUGGCGGCGUGCCUAAUACAUGCAAGUCGAGCGAACAGACGAGGAGUUUGCUCCUGAGUCGUUAGCGGCGAACGGGUGAGUAACACGUGACUAACCUACCUAUAAGACCGGGAUUGCUUCGGGACACCGGAGCUAAGGCCGGAUAAUCUAUAGAACUGCAUGGUUCUAUCGUGGAAGGAGGUCUUGUUGUUACUUAUAGGUGGUGCCGUGGCGGAUUAGCAACUUGGUAAGGUGAUGGUUUACCAAGGCAACGAUGCGUAGUCGACCUGAGAGUGUGAGCGUCCACACUGGAACUGAGACACGGUCCAGACUCCUACGGGAGGCAGCAGUAGGGAAUCUUCCGCAAGGGGCGAAAGCGUGACGGAGCAGCGCCGCGUGAGUGAUGAAGAUCUUCGGAUCGUGAAUCUCUGUUAUUAGGGAAGAACAAAUGUGUAAGUAACUGUGCACGUCUUGACGGUACCUAAUCAGAAAGCCACGGCUAACUACGUG